GACGAACGCUGGCGGCGCGCCUAACCCAUGCAAGUCGAACGGAGCUGAGAGAAGCUUGCUUUUCUUAGCUUAGUGGCGAACGGGUGAGUAACGCGUGAGUAACCUGCCCUGGAGUGGGGGACAACAGUUGGAAACGACUGCUAAUACCGCAUAAGCCCACGAUCCGGCAUCGGAUUGAGGGAAAAGGAUUUAUUCGCUUCAGGAUGGACUCGCGUCCAAUUAGCUAGUUGGUGAGGUAACGGCCCACCAAGGCGACGAUUGGUAGCCGGACUGAGAGGUUGAACGGCCACAUUGGGACUGAGACACGGCCCAGACUCCUACGGGAGGCAGCAGUGGGGGAUAUUGCACAAUGGGGGAAACCCUGAUGCAGCGACGCCGCGUGGAGGAAGAAGGUUUUCGGAUUGUAAACUCCUGUCGUUAGGGACGAUAAUGACGGUACCUAACAAGAAAGCACCGGCUAACUACGUG
RNAcentral lists this ribosomal RNA (468 nucleotides) under uncultured bacterium. RNAcentral's name for it is "partial 16S ribosomal RNA". It matches the Rfam family "Bacterial small subunit ribosomal RNA", at positions 28 to 507 of the family's 1533-position model. The record is from RNAcentral.